This 452-nucleotide ribosomal RNA is filed under the name uncultured Azospirillum sp. Its description in RNAcentral is "bacterial SSU rRNA". It matches the Rfam family "Bacterial small subunit ribosomal RNA", at positions 24 to 524 of the family's 1533-position model. The record is from RNAcentral. Lineage: Bacteria; Pseudomonadati; Pseudomonadota; Alphaproteobacteria; Rhodospirillales; Azospirillaceae.
UCAGAACGAACGCUGGCGGCAUGCCUAACACAUGCAAGUCGAACGAAGCCUUCGGGCUUAGUGGCGCACGGGUGAGUAACACGUGGGAACCUGCCUUUCGGUUCGGAAUAACGUUUGGAAACGAACGCUAACACCGGAUACGCCCUUCGGGGGAAAGUUUACGCCGAGAGAGGAGCCCGCGUCCGAUUAGGUAGUUGGUGAGGUAACGGCUCACCAAGCCGACGAUCCGUAGCUGGUCUGAGAGGAUGAUCAGCCACACUGGGACUGAGACACGGCCCAGACUCCUACGGGAGGCAGCAGUGGGGAAUAUUGGACAAUGGGCGCAAGCCUGAUCCAGCAAUGCCGCGUGAGUGAUGAAGGCCUUAGGGUUGUAAAGCUCUUUCGCACGUGACGAUGAUGACGGUAACGUGAGAAGAAGCCCCGGCUAACUUCGUGCCAGCAGCCGCGGUAAU